Sphaeramia orbicularis (orbiculate cardinalfish) is the source of this 1181-nucleotide RNA transcript. It is a transcript of the gene named BCDIN3 domain containing, with no coding region annotated. NCBI's taxonomy places the organism in Eukaryota, Metazoa, Chordata, Actinopteri, Kurtiformes, Apogonidae. The record is from RefSeq and is a predicted model, not a curated record. The transcript is spliced from 3 exons.
UCUACCCGGAACCACUUUGAAGGUGCACGCGGUACAAUGGCAACAUGUUCGACGAACAGUGAAACUGUUAAUGAAAUAAACGAUCCCGGUGCUGCUCCUUAUGGCAAUUUUAUCAACUAUUACACCUUCAAUCCUCCGGAAAACCGUUUAAGUCUGAUUCCAGUCACUCUGCUUCAGGAUUUAGGUUAUAACGACCAUCACCAGACCACACUCCUGCUGGACGUGGGGUGUAAUUCAGGGGAGCUGAGUGUGGCCUUUUAUAAACACCUGGUUCCUUCAGACCUGAGGACAGUUCACCUUCUGGGGUUCGACUUGGAUGAGAGUCUGAUUGAGCGCGCUCAGCAGACCAACCCUCUGCCCGGCAGCAUCUCCUUCAUCCCUCUGGACAUCACCGCAGACACUCGUCAGCUGCAGGAUUACCUCCGUCACCACGGCUGCUCCCACUUCCACUUGUGCCUGUGUCUGGCCGUCACCAUGUGGGUCCACCUAAACCACGGAGACUCGGGGCUGCUGCAGCUGCUCUCUCACCUGGCCUCCAUCAGCGACCACCUUCUGCUGGAGGCUCAGCCCUGGAAGUGCUACCGCUCCGCAGCCCGCCGCCUCAGGAAGCUGGGCCGCUCAGACUUUGACCACUUUAAGACCCUGAAGAUCCGAGGUGACAUGGCAGAACACGCCAGGGAGCACCUGGAGAGACACUGUGACAUGGAGCUGAUCCAGAGCUUCGGUAGCACCACAUGGGACCGUAAACUGCUGCUUUUCAGAAGGAGAUGAGACAGUUGGACUGUGGCGUUAACGUUCAUCUGCCUCAGACACUGACAUUCUGUGAAGAACUGAGAAGUCUAUAGUGUUGGACUGAACCAGAUUAAACAGAUUAGACCACAGAGAUUUAACACAAUCAGAUUCUCACAAACAUGUUAAAUGAACAUAAAACAAAUAACCAGAUCCAAGAAUUUGUGUCUUUGCUUUUGACAUUUUCGAAAGAAGCUAAUAAUGGAAGAGUCCUUGAUCUUUUUCAACUGUGUCUAAAGAAAUAAAGUGUUUUUAUCAUUUCUUUAAAUGUAAUUUUCUGCCUCCUUUGUGAUUGUUUCUUAAGAUGCUUUGCACCUUCAAAGAUGCAUUUAUUUAAAUAGAAAUUAUGGAUAAAAUUGACUUUUUCAGAUCAAACUCAAGACUGUUGAGCC